GCGGUUCCAAAUAUCUCUCAUGAA
Molecule: non-coding RNA, 24 nt
Filed under: Arabidopsis thaliana (thale cress)
Lineage: Eukaryota; Viridiplantae; Streptophyta; Magnoliopsida; Brassicales; Brassicaceae
Source: RNAcentral